UUGUGUGUUGUAAUGCAAGUUGUAAAUGUAAUUAGAGAGAGAGAAGCACGAGACGGAGACCUAAGAGAAGCAUUUGGUAAACGGCCCAAUAGGGAACACCUUUUUAGCUAAGUUGUUGCCCUGUAUGUUGUUGAUGAUGGAUGCUGUUGCUGCUUCCCUUUGUCUUCUUUUAUUUUUUCUUUUUAAUUUUUUCACCAAUUCUUUGUUUGGAAACUGCUCUCUCUUUCCCCCCUCGCUUCCGCCUCUCUCUCUCUCUCUGUCUCUCUCUUUGGGUUAUUUCGUAAAUUAACGAUUACUGUCCUCUUUUAAUCUCUCUUUUUCUCUCCUCUUCUACAUUGUAUUCCUCAUCUCAUAUCCUUCCCCUUCAAGGCCUCGUUCUCUCGUUCUCUCUCUCCCUCUCUCUCCUCUUCUUUGCAUUCUUCUCCUACUAGGGUUUUCGUUUCUUUUCAUGCUCCUCUUUUUUCUCUUUCUUUUCUCAAGAAGGAGAUUGUUAGAUCGAUCAGGCUUUUCUGCUCUUAUUUCUUAGAUUUGGUGUAAGUGAGUAUUGCUGCUUGCAUUGGAAUUUCUACGGUGCCUGUGUAUAAUUCAUAAGGUACAUUAUUAGCAGCAGUAAUGCAAGGGCAGAGGAGUAUUAUUGGCUCAUUGCCAGAAAUACUGGACUUUGACCAUGGAUCUACAUCAAGUAAUACCAUCAUUGAUCAGCAAAUUUGCUGGAAUAACAUGCAAAAUCCUGCAGAAAACCGAUUAGCAGACUUUAUGCUAUCGCCAAGUCACAUAAACAAUGCAUAUGUCAAUUCUGUUGAUCAAGAACGACAAAAUUCAGGUGGAUGGAGUUUGGGUGAACCCAGUUCAAGUGGUGCACAAAACGAUGCAAGUUGUGAAGACCAGAAAUCAGAACAUGGAUGGUCAUCUUCAGGAAGUACUCGUGCUGGAGCUGGUCGAAGGUUAGAAGAAAGGCGAUAUGAACCAGGCAGUAUUCUAUCGCUGGACAGUGUUAAUGUGAACCCUCAAUUUGGGCAGAGUUCCAAUUCCGAUGCAAUUCCUCAGAAUCUCAGUCUGAAUGCAGGUUUUGUGGGUCAAGGCAGUGAUAAUGGACAAGUCAUGGAAAGCUCUAACAUGUACAAGUCUGGCAGAGAUGAAAAUCAGCGGAUUCCUCCUGCUAGUCAUUCUGAUGCAUUCGUGCGUCCUUCUGGAAGUAGUGGAUACAUGUUGGAAGAGAGUGAUGGCAGACCAGGUUGUUCUUCAUUGGAUGGUCGCCGUCAGUCAUGUAAAAGAAAGGCAGUCGAGGGACAUAUUGGACAGUCCUCUAUGAGUGGAAGUUCAAGUUUCUUUCAUUGCUCAGAGGGUAGUGCAUGGCCUGGUGUUCCUACCCACUAUGAUGCAGGCAGCAGCUUGAGUAUAUCUGCUCCAUCAGAACAGGUGAACCCCAGACUUGGAUUAGGUCUGAGGGGACUAGCUUCUGAUGGUAUUCCUGAUGCAGCAGUAGCCGGACAUUCUGAAACCUCCCAAAGAAAUUUUCGAUUGAGAAUAAAUCCUUCAACUCAAGAAUCUGUUCCCCCUGCUUUAUUUUCUACAGGGAGUGCAGUUAGGCGCUCCAAUUUACCAUCUUCCCACCGCCCAUCUAGACUUCUUCCGACCGAUCAUUCAUUGGACUUUAGAUCACCACUAGCAGUAGAAGCGGCAACUUCUCAGAGUCAGCCUUUUGUUAUCCCUGUUCCACCUUUGCCCCAAAAUGUGCAGUCAUUUAGGUGGAAUGAAAGCUCUAGCACCAGAACUGGUAGCUCAUCAAGUUCUAUUGCUUUGAGUGAUAGGGAGGAAACCGGCUCGAGAAACAUAUCGAGAAACAUUUGGGAACAUCCUAUGUUUGUACCUGCAACUGAGUUGAGAACCUCGGUUAGAAAUCCAACAAAUAGAAGUGUCACUGGUGGAAAUGUUGCUUCUACAUCGCGGUCUGGCUCAAGCUCGGGUGUCCAUCCUUUAUCACCUCCAAGUUGGGUGUCUCAUCCAAAUCCUUCUUCAAGAAAUUCACGUAGAUUAGCUGAAUAUGUUCGCCGUUCUCUAUUUUCUUCUGCUGGUGCGGAUUCUGGAGGCCAGAGCAAUGCACAUUCUCCGCUGCAUUCUGGUCCUUCUGGCUCCUCAGAAGAAGCAAUGAUUUCUUCUGGAGUCAGUAACCCAGUGCAUCAUCGAUCAUAUCCAAGAUCAGCAUUGUGGAUGGAGAGACAGGGUGAUGGUGUACUUGGAAUUCCUUAUCCUUUCCGAACUUUGGCUGCUGCCGGUGAAGGAAGAAGCAGGCUUCUUGUGUCUGAGCAGAUUCGCAAUGUCUUGGAUCUCAUGCGAAGGGGUGAGAGCUUGCGAUUUGAGGAUGUCAUGAUUCUUGACCAAUCAGUGUUUUUUGGAGUGGCUGAUAUUCAUGAUAGGCAUAGGGAUAUGCGGCUUGAUGUUGAUAACAUGUCGUAUGAGGAGUUGUUGGCUUUGGAAGAGCGCAUUGGAAAUGUUAGUACUGGAUUGAGUGAAGAAACUAUCUUAAACCGGCUAAAGCAGCGGAAAUAUUCUGUUGCAGUAAGGACUGAGGUGGAUGCGGAACCUUGUUGCGUUUGUCAGGAGGAAUAUAAUAAUGGAGAAGAUGUUGGAACACUGGACUGUGGGCAUGAUUUUCACACCGAUUGUAUUAAACAAUGGCUGAUGCUUAAGAAUUGGUGCCCCAUUUGUAAAACAACGGGGCUUGCUACAUGAAAAGUUAUUUUGAUGAUCAGGCGAUUAAGAUUAUGCACAUAAUAUGAAGAAAGAGAAGCCUAUUUAUGAAAUAGCCCAGAGAAAAUGGCUUUAGACCAGGGGAGAGGAGAGAAGGUGACCAACUAUUGGAAUAAGUUGGGUUUGAUUUGGAAUGGCUUUAUAUGGAUUGGGCUGGAUGUGGAUUGGCGACUGCCUUUUUUUCUUUAGAGUUUUAGAACAAGUAAGGUUCCAUUUUGAAGAUUGACGAGUGUCAAGUGUUCCAUUUUGAAUCCAGCUGCUGGUGAUUUGGGCAGUUUCCAGAUGGAGAAUGGAGUAAAAACGUGUUUGGUUGAGGGGAUGAUAAUUGUGUGAAGUGACAUCGGGAAUUGCACCUUUUGUUGGACAAGCUAUCCAAUGCGCUGUUCUUUCAGGCUAAUGUGACGUUUUCCUUGCAUAAGACUCCGAGAUGAUGUCUGUCUCUUUGACCAUUUCCUUCCAUUUUACUCUCACGUCCCUCAAAAUUUUUUUUCCCCAAUGCCUUCCUAUUAGGCUGCUUUUUUUUUUUUUUUUCCCUCAACCUAGUAUAUGUUUUAUGUUAAUAAUUUAAUACUAACAUGAAAUUAUGCAUAAUAAAACCGUUUUUAGUAUUGUUUUAUAAUUUUAGUUAAAAUUAUCCACAAAGGAUGGAUUUUAGUAGUUAAAUCUUUUUGGAAUUAAUAGCCGAGGAUUUAACAUCUAAUACAUCUCAUAUUUAAUUGAGUUUGAAUUUCAUUGAUUACUAUUAAAGUUCCUUGUGAGUAGCAAAGUGGGUGAUAUAUAAGUCUUAUUGUGAAUAUUCAAUGGUCUAUUAUAGGCUUUCUUUGACUAUGUGAUGAGGAUAUCUUUUCUAUC
RNA transcript from Hevea brasiliensis (rubber tree), 3603 nucleotides. It is a transcript of the gene named probable E3 ubiquitin-protein ligase RHG1A, with no coding region annotated. Lineage: Eukaryota; Viridiplantae; Streptophyta; Magnoliopsida; Malpighiales; Euphorbiaceae. The record is from RefSeq and is a predicted model, not a curated record. The transcript has 8 exons.